Molecule: ribosomal RNA, 472 nt
Filed under: uncultured bacterium
Lineage: Bacteria
Description: bacterial SSU rRNA
Rfam family: Bacterial small subunit ribosomal RNA
Source: RNAcentral
ACUCCUACGGGAGGCAGCAGUGGGGAAUAUUGCACAAUGGGCGCAAGCCUGAUGCAGCCAUGCCGCGUGUGUGAAGAAGGCCUUCGGUUGUAAAGCACUUUCAGUCGUGAGGAAGGUAGUGUAGUUAAUAGCUGCAUUAUUUGACGUUAGCGACAGAAGAAGCACCGGCUAACUCCGUGCCAGCAGCCGCGGUAAUACGGAGGGGUGCGAGCGUUAAUCGGAAUUACUGGGCGUAAAGCGCAUGCAGGUGGUUUGUUAAGUCAGAUGUGAAAGCCCGGGGCUCAACCUCGGAAUUGCAUUUGAAACUGGCAGACUAGAGUACUGUAGAGGGGGUAGAAUUUCAGGUGUAGCGGUGAAAUGCGUAGAGAUCUGAAGGAAUACCGGUGGCGAAGGCGGCCCCCUGGACAGAUACUGACACUCAGAUGCGAAAGCGUGGGGAGCAAACAGGAUUAGAUACCCUGGUAGGAUAGCC